AACUCUUGAUUUGUUGCACGCAGUUAACUCCCUUUGAUUGAUGGCACUGUGUGGAGUUCUAAAUAAGGCACUGUGUGGAGCAGACAAGGGAGUUAACUCAUGUACAAAGCAUAUACCAUGGAUUACUUCCCUUUGACCACAAAAUACCCAUCUGUUCGUGUGCGACGAUUUCUUCUAAAAGGAAAGGACAAACACAAAGGAGGACCAACAUCAUAAAGUGCAUGUUGAGUGAUAGUUCACGUGACUGAACCAGCUUAGUGACAUUGAUAAUAUCGGAAGAGUAAGCAAUGGUAUCACUCAAUGAUGCCGUGCCGUUGAUGGUCAAGGGGAAAUAACUGCAAACCCGUUUUACCAUUUGCGAAACACAUUUCGCUCUCUUUAGUACAAGGGACAUAACCUGUGAAUUGUUGAACGUGGUUAACUCCCUUUGCUGGUGAGGGGUGUGUGAAGUGUUCAAAAAUUACAUUGUGCGCAGUUAAGAAACAACCCUGCGUCAUUGAAGUAUCUGUUUUGGUCUGGCAGGUCACAUGAACACCAUUUCACAGUCACAUCCUGUCAACUGUGAUCUACCUUGUAGUUGGUUGCCUGUUUAACUCCGCAUUCAACAAUAUUUCAGCUAUAUGGCGGCGGUCUGUCAAUAAUCGAGUCUGAACCAGACAAUCCAGUGAUCAACAGCAUGAAAUAAAAGGAAAAAGGAAAGGACUAACACAAAGGAGGACCAACAUCAUAAAGUGCAUGUUGAGUGAUAGUUCACGAGACUGAACCCGCUUAGUAGCAUCGAUAAUAUCGGAAGAGUAAGCAACGGUAUCACUGGGAUGCCGUGCCGCAUUCGUCACCACUCGCCCCUUUCCGUAAACUCCAAGAAGAGUACAUCCAUCCCAUAAUUCACACGCAUAUUCAAAAUGAGGACGAAUAAAAACAGUGUAGAUCUUA
This is a long non-coding RNA of Haliotis rubra (blacklip abalone), 933 nucleotides long. RefSeq lists it as uncharacterized. The transcript has 2 exons. The record is from RefSeq and is a predicted model, not a curated record. Lineage: Eukaryota; Metazoa; Mollusca; Gastropoda; Lepetellida; Haliotidae.